RNAcentral lists this ribosomal RNA (479 nucleotides) under uncultured bacterium. RNAcentral's name for it is "partial 16S ribosomal RNA". It matches the Rfam family "Bacterial small subunit ribosomal RNA", at positions 28 to 507 of the family's 1533-position model. The record is from RNAcentral.
GAUGAACGCUAGCGGGAGGCCUAACACAUGCAAGCCGAGCGGUAUUUGUUCUUCGGAACAGAGAGAGCGGCGCACGGGUGCGGAACACGUGUGCAACCUGCCUUUAUCUGGGGGAUAGCCUUUCGAAAGGAAGAUUAAUACCCCAUAAUAUAUUGAGUGGCAUCAUUUGAUAUUGAAAACUCCGGUGGAUAGAGAUGGGCACGCGCAAGAUUAGAUAGUUGGUGAGGUAACGGCUCACCAAGUCAAUGAUCUUUAGGGGGCCUGAGAGGGUGAUCCCCCACACUGGGACUGAGACACGGACCAGACUCCUACGGGAGGCAGCAGUGAGGAAUAUUGGACAAUGGGUUAGCGCCUGAUCCAGCCAUCCCGCGUGAAGGACGACGGCCCUAUGGGUUGUAAACUUCUUUUGUAUAGGGAUAAACCUACUCUCGUGAGAGUAGCUGAAGGUACUAUACGAAUAAGCGCCGGCUAACUCCGUG